Molecule: ribosomal RNA, 415 nt
Filed under: uncultured Halobacteria archaeon
Lineage: Archaea; Methanobacteriati; Methanobacteriota; Halobacteria
Description: bacterial SSU rRNA
Rfam family: Archaeal small subunit ribosomal RNA
Source: RNAcentral
CCGCGGUAACACCGGCAGCCCAAGUGAUGGCCGCUAUUAUUGGGCCUAAAGCGUCCGUAGCCGGCCGGGCAGGUCCGUCGGGAAAUCCACUAGCUCAACUAGUGGGCGUCCGGCGGAAACCGCUCGGCUUGGGACCGGGAGACCAGAGGGGUACGUCCGGGGUAGGAGUGAAAUCCCGUAAUCCUGGACGGACCACCGGUGGCGAAAGCGCCUCUGGAGAACGGAUCCGACGGUGAGGGACGAAAGCUAGGGUCUCGAACCGGGUUAGAUACCCGGGUAGUCCUAGCCGUAAACGAUGCUCGCUAGGUGUGGCGCAGGCUACGAGCCUGCGCUGUGCCGUAGGGAAGCCGUGAAGCGAGCCGCCUGGGAAGUACGUCCGCAAGGAUGGAACUUAAAGGAAUUGGCGGGGGAGCAC